UUUGUCAUGGACACAUGGAUAAAUCUCAUUUAGAGUUUUGUUUCUCUAUUGUACUCAUUAGAGUCAUAUUUUUUGUGUGCGUUUUUCUGUUUUCUAAUUAACUAGGCGGAAAGAACAUUUCUAAAUUUAGUUACUACAAGCUCGACAGCGUGACGCAUUCGCAGUGACCUAUAAAGCGUAUAUCUUGAAAGUAGCAGACAAGGAACUUAAUUCAUUCUUUGUAUAUAUUUUGUGACUUACCCUUAAACAGCGGGCAUAGCUGACCCAGUGCCCCGAUGGGACCGCGGCCCGUGUACUGGCCCACAGACAGCUCCAUAAACAGCAGCGGUAUGCUGCAUAUGAAGAGUAUUAUGCAAUAAGGUACUAGAAACACACCUGCAAUUACAAAGAGCAUAUCAAGGAAACGAAAUGCGAACAGCUAAGUAAAGAACAAACAUCCAAGCACUGAGGAAUAGGAACGUGUAUAAUGUCUCAGCUUAUCCAGUUGUCAGAUGUCGCCUCAUUAUACUUUCGUGUUUGUGUGUGUUGAGGAAUGUAAAUGGGCCUCUGGCUUCUGAGAGUGAGAGCGUGUAAAUGAAGAUGGACGUAGCCACUUGGCGGGGGCGGCUUGCGUGCGCUGUACUGCAAGGGGCAGGCUGGGGGAGGCUGUGCGCCAGCCCAGAUGACAGUGACCGCUUUAUUUUGUCGUCGGACUUUCAUACUUUUGCGCUGAGCUUAAACAAAUUUUAAUUUAUGACUUUGUAGCGUUUACAGCGGAAAUGUCGCAUAUAGCGCGAAAUUUUCAAAAAUAAAAACAAAAUGCCUCCAAAGAUGUCACAUAGAAUCAAAGUUUAUGCCGAAACCCGACACAUGUCCCCACUUAUUUCCGUUACUUCACUUCUCUCUUUUUCACUGGAAUGCUCCGUAUCGAAAGUCAAAUAUUGUCAAAUUUAUUAAUCUAUGCCGACUUGAACUGG
This is a long non-coding RNA of Drosophila hydei, 956 nucleotides long. RefSeq lists it as uncharacterized. The record is from RefSeq and is a predicted model, not a curated record. Lineage: Eukaryota; Metazoa; Arthropoda; Insecta; Diptera; Drosophilidae. The transcript has 3 exons.